UACGUAGGCAGCAAGCGCUGUUCGGAGUUACUGGGCGUAAAGGGUGUGUAGGCGGUUCCUUAAGUUUGCUGUGAAAUCUCCCGGCUUAACCGGGAGGGUGCGGUGAAUACUGAGGGACUAGAGUACGGGAGAGGAAAGUGGAAUUCCUGGUGUAGCGGUGAAAUGCGUAGAUAUCAGGAGGAACACCGGUGGUGUAGACGGCUUUCUGGACCGUAACUGACGCUGAGACACGAAAGCGUGGGUAGCAAACAGG
This 253-nucleotide ribosomal RNA is filed under the name uncultured bacterium. Its description in RNAcentral is "partial 16S ribosomal RNA". It matches the Rfam family "Bacterial small subunit ribosomal RNA", at positions 524 to 776 of the family's 1533-position model. The record is from RNAcentral.